Molecule: long non-coding RNA, 588 nt
Organism: Marmota flaviventris (yellow-bellied marmot)
Lineage: Eukaryota; Metazoa; Chordata; Mammalia; Rodentia; Sciuridae
Source: RefSeq, a predicted model, not a curated record
CAAAGAAGCUGGUGGCCAUGUUUUUGGCAGCGUGGUCCCUGCUCACCUGGAAAAAUUCAGCAUGCCAUCAAGCCUCCUCCACAGUGUUCUGAAGAAAUUACUUCUAAGACAUAAAUGGAAAAGCAGAUGUAAAGUGCAAAUAAACUCCCACACAUGUGCCUAAUCUCUUCCUCCAAAAAAGAACAGAGAAAGGUUCAAGUGUUAUGGAGAAUAGGCACCCAUUUACAGAAGACAUCUGUGUUAAGUGUCCUUAUGUGGCCAUCCCAUGUGACAGAAUGCAAAACUACAGAGGGAAAGAACAAUUAGGGAUCCUGGAACAAGCCUUAGCAAUCCACCAGCAGAUCUCAGAGGCCCAUGAUCAAAUCCCACAAGCUGUCUUUGAUUCCUCUGUGUUCCUUUCUCCAAGUGCAACAUCAUUACCUUCAAAAUACAUUCCAGGUCAAGGUCUUGUCUGCCUCAGGGCACUGGUUGUUUAUUUCUGCAGGAAAACUCUUCCCCAGCAGGCUCAGUUCUCUUCUCAUCCUUCAAGCUUAGCUCAGAUGUCACCUGCUCAGAGAUUUUUCCAGACCUUCCUACCUAAAGUGUCAC